CAUAUACUCUCCACAGGCAAAUUGGGAACAGAGAUGGGGCAAGGAACAUCAGAGCAGCAUGUCCGCGCGAGGUCCAGCCCUUCCUCCUCAGCUGACUUGUGAGGCUGAGUCUCAUGUUUGUUUGAAUCCACCUCACCAUCUACGGAGUGGAGGGAGGUGAGGUAACAUUCCAAGUAAAAGCAGGGGAGAACGACGAGGGUGGCAGAACCACAGUGGACAAGGCUUACUUGGAGCCGCUUCAGAUUGUGUUGGCAAUAAGCUCCAGUGCAGGCUGAUUUGUUUGGGAGAUUAGAGGGCAGGGAAUACUUCCAAACUUUUUCAGCAGUUGUCCAUAACAGUUUAGAUAAUCUUGCUGUUUAAACAGCUGCCAUGGUGAAUUCUAAAUAUUAAUGUUACGUCACACAGUCCUUGGCUAAAACAAGAAAGAGGGCUAACUUGACGUAAGCUAGCACGGCGGCUGGGAAACGUUCCUCUGAGGGAUGAAGGCACAAGCAUGAAGCUUCCUGGAGUCCCUGGAUUCAGCAGACAGGAGGGUGUGAAGCCAGACAAAGGAGACACAGGGAACUGGAGAGGACAGAAGUCUUCUCUUCUUCCUUGGAAAGACCUUCUAAGCAUGAGUGGAUACAGGGAGAUUUUAUAAAAAGAAAAUCAAUACCUGCCCUCUGAUUAAUUGUAAACAGCUUAAACAAAUACGCCUACAAUGACUGCAUCUCAAAGAGAAGGAUCUUGGAAAUCACUGCCCUUUCUAAAUCCCGAUACAUCUCCUCAAGAUACCAAAGCAGAAUUUCCCCUCCAAGGAUGCUCAUUGGGAUUCAUCACUUUGCCAGCACUUACUGUCCCUAAGGUGGGCAGGGACCCUCCAGGGCUGAGCACAUAACAAGAAACUGACACAAUGACAAGGAGAAUGUGAUGGAGAAGAAGCUGGGGAGGAACACAGAGGGCCUUUGAACAGUUACUGCUGCUACACAUAUCACUGUCCGCCAUGUCUGAACUACUCAACUUAUCCUAGGACCCUGGGUUCCUUCCCCUGGAUCUGUGGGGCCACGUGAGUGUGGAGUGCACCCACCUACUCAGGACCCCAAAAAGGAUGAGGAAACUGACUGGUCCUCAGCCUGUCCCUGGGCAAGUUAAGGCCAUGGUGGUCAGGUCCUGGGCAUGGUACCUUGGAAGCAGCCAUCACCGCCGCCGUGGCCGCCACGUUCAAGCCUCGCUUCCCAAAGUGCACAAGGGCAUCGUAACUUCGGUCUUUUGCUUGGACCAGGCAAUCAUCGAUUUCCUGUCAAAGGAAAAGAGAGGCAUGCUGAAUUGGAGGGCGCAAAUAAAUCUCCGUUUUCUCCCUCUUCAGAGUGCUGAGCUUGGUGGGUUCUCACUGACACUGCCAACUCACGGGCUGUCAGACCUGGGCCAGUACUUAGCCUCUACACACGGUUCUGUCUUCUGAAAAAUGAGGACAGUGGUAGCACCUAACUCGUGCAGCAUGGUGAGGGUUACAUGAGAUCAUUCCGCGAAAGCAACUGACACAGUGCUGGUUUCAAUAACCAAGCACCACUGUCAUCUUCCUUCUCUCAAGGAGGUCAAGCCCUGGCAGCUCUGAAAUGCUAUUAUUCCACAGCUAUAUCAUACUAUGUCCAAAUCCUUCCCCAUGUGUAUACUGAUGGGAGGGAUUUGGAAAGAGAUAGGUAUUAUUUUGCUUGAUAGAGAAGAUCAUUUUACAGAUAAUGAAAUAAAAGCAGAAAUUAGAAGUCAUCCAGCAUCGUACCAUAAGAUAAAGCUGAGGUGGGAAAGAGGGUGGAGGUCUACCUCAGGGACCAGGACCAUGUAAGAUGUUGGUUUAGUUCAAAUUUGGAUCAACGCUGGCUCAUUCUUUUUGUUUGGUUUGGGUUGUUGUCACUGUUUUAAGAAAAUAACUGUUUUGUAAUCACAGGAGCUCAUUGCAGAGUUCAGUCAGUGACACUUGGCCUCCAUUUCAUUUGAAGUCCAGCAUACUGGUGCAUUUCCUUCGCUUUGAGGCACGCAGGUGGACAGUCAACCCCCUGCUGGGUCCUUGUGUAAGCUUCCUCAGGAAGUCAAGCACUAAGUUUCCAUUGUGACCCCUGGCUGACUCCAGAAGUGAUUCCUGGCAGACUCUUAAACGUUCACUUCCAUGGGAAUUACAUGGGCAGCUUCAGGGUAAGUCCAGUAUUUGGAGAAAGGGAAGUAGGAAGAGUAGAGAUUUGACAACCAGGUCGAGACAGGCAUUACCCUUCCUCAAAAUCCACCCUCUGAGACAGGAAGUGUUGUGCCCUAGUUCCUAAACACAUUCUCAGAAAUGUCUAUAGUGGCCUGCUCAUCCAACUGAUAUACUCAAAGCCUUCCCCUGGAAGUCCAAAGUAUCCAACUUUCAGAAGUGACAGAAAUGAAUACAUCAAGCCACCAAAAGUGCUACUAAUUCAUGUUGUAGAAUUCUACCCACAAUCAGUUUAGAAAAGCAUGUAACAUCACGAAUGAAUUAUACAACGCUGGACCCAGUAAUUCCACUCUUGAGAAUUUAUUCUAAGAUAAGAAGCCAACAGAAGGAAGUAUAUACGAUGUGUGGUGACUGUCACGGCUUAUGAGGAAGACCAAUGGAAAAGGACAAUAUGCAACCAUGCUUAAGAUCUCAGAAGACCAAUAUUGUAUCUGUUCAGUUUUCUGAUUGUUGCUUUUUGGUUUGGGGUGGUUUGGGGUUUUUUUUUUAUGUACGCUUAAAAUUUUAUUUUAAAGAAACAUUACAUAGACUGGAUUGAAUUUUAAAAAGAGGCUACCAAACAAAUGAAUGACAGAGGUCAUGUUUAUUUUAGUGGUCUCUGCAUCUGUUAUUGUAGGAAAUGUUAAGAAAACCAUGGAACAAUCCAUUGAAAGCAAACCCGGCAAAUUAGGUUCAGUGGAGAUGUUAAACAAAAAAUCACUUUAUAGACAGUGACAUUACUUAUAAGCGGCUUAAAUUCAUUUCUCUUCAAGAGGUGUCAGUUGUAACUCCUCCUCGAAUCCUUAGUUACUGCUGACCCCUUCCUGCAAUCUCUCCCUAUCUUAUUUUUUCCAGCUCUGACAUUAGACAAAUCUACAUUUUUGUUUCAAGAAUGUAUGUGAAGUACUUUGAAGCAAAACAAACACAAGAGAUAAAUAGCAUUAUGACUACUCUCAUUAAUACUUACUGACUGAUAAUUACUAAAGUCGCAGGUAUUUCAUUGGUAGCACACAUUUUAUCAUUGAACAAUAAAGCAAACGUACUAGAAAGUUAUUAUAUUCCAGUCUCUGUUAGUAGCUAUCUGGGUACAUGUUCAAAUCAUUUACUCUCUCUAGACUUCAGCCUUCCUGUUUAUGUUAAGUUUUAAAAGUAUUUUAAUAGUCCAUAUAAAAAUCCUAUCUGCAAAAGGACAGGGGCUGAGCCUGAUAAAAGGAAGGAAAUUCAGUUUGGGGAGUUAAAUUAUGAGUGAAUCCUUUCUGCCUUUUUGUUUCAAUGUAUGGAAAUGUUUUACCAUAAUAAUGAUGAAUAACAUCCUUUUGAGAAUUUCACCGCUAUUCAUAAACAGGUCAGAAAAACAGACUUAAAAAAGAAAGAUUAAAGAGUUUGAAAAACAAAAAAACAAAAACAAAAAAAAAAGAUUAGAAGGAACAAAUGUUAGGGGGGAAAUAAAAGUCAAU
Molecule: long non-coding RNA, 3663 nt
Organism: Hippopotamus amphibius kiboko
Lineage: Eukaryota; Metazoa; Chordata; Mammalia; Artiodactyla; Hippopotamidae
Exons: 5
Source: RefSeq, a predicted model, not a curated record